GGGGAAAGAUGGGGGAUCUCUGGCUUGAGGCUUGGAGAACAGCACGACCCCUGCUGGACCCUCUUGGAUAGCUCCACCUGCCGAGGACUGUGGAGAACAAGGGAUUCAAUCCCACACCCAAGGAGAGAGAGACCAGACAUCUUGCCGUCUCCAGCAAGGGCCUCCGGGGACUGUCAGUCUCUGUCCAGCCCAGGACCACACCAUCCAACAUUUUGCUGUCAGAUGUCCCAGCUCUUUUUUCAAAUAAGAGAUGGGAUGAGGCAUCCCCUACCUGAGCCACAGAGGGUGCUUUUGGCUACUGGAAGUCUCCAAGAUGAAGAGCUCGGAACCGUGGAGAGUCCACCAGCCAGACCAACAAAUGGGAAAAUGCUCUGCGUCCUGCUUCCAGACAUGAAGCUGAACUUGCUCCAAGGAGGAAACUCACAAACUCUUUUCCCAACCUGGUAUACUCCAUCUUCGUUUUCAUUCCCAUUGGAGGAACUGUUCUCUUGUCGUCAACAGUAGGACCACUGUGGAAAGAUCACUAAUUUAGUGAGAAACUCAAAUUACUGAAUAGCUGUAAAAAAAUUUGCUGUUUUAGUUCAAGUACCAACCACAAUUUUAAGGAUUGUGGUAGGAGUGACCACCCCUCCUGGGUGACCAACUGUCCUGGCUUACCCAAGACUCUCCUGGCGUUAGCACUGAAAGUCUUACAUUCUGAGACACCUCUCAGUCCUAGGACCAAAUUAGGACAGAUGGCACUCUACUGAAUGUCAGGUACUGUGCCAGGCACUGUACAUUCAUCAUAUCAUUUUAUCCACAGGCCAGCUUUGGGUAGGUUUGCUUUUUCCAUCUUGAGCAUAAGAAAACAGCCUUGAGAGGUUAAGUUGAUUUCCAAGCCCACGCUCCAGAACAGGUGGAGCCAAACAGUGGCAACAGGCCCACCAGACUCUGAAGCACUGGUGUCUUUCAGGGCAGGAGACCUCAUUCCCUAGUGCUAAGAUUUCAGCCUCAGGGGUACAGGCCAGCAGGUGGGCCUGGGUGGAGCUUUGCUGCCCUCUGGUGGGAGAUAUGGUGGCACUCUGGGCCUACGUCCACUCUUGGGCAGAGAGGCUGAGAAGGCAUCCCUGCCUCCCAAGCAGAGGAACUCAAAUCUGGCUUCAGUCCUAGAAGAGUGCCACAUGGAUGGCCCUCACCAGUGUCUGCUGGGGACCUUGGUCCAGCUAUCUGUGAGUCAUAUGAUCACUUAGGGCCUCAAAGACCCAGAGCCAGACUGCUGGGUUUGAGUCCAUGUGACCCUGAACCAGUCGCUCAAACCUCUGGGCCUCAGUUCCUUAUCUAUAAAUCAGAAUGACAAACAAGUCAACACAUUUAAACUAUGCUUAGACUGAGGUUGUCAUUACUAGCUCCUUCACACCCACAUGCCUUAACUCUACCUUUGUGCACUCAUUCAUUUCAUUCAUUCACUUCACUUCCAUCCAGCAGUUAUCUACCAAGCACCAGCUCUGUGCCAGACCCUGAGCUGGGGAUGCCAGAGAGAUGAUUGCCCUCCUGGAUCUGUAAUUUUCCACUAAUCCACUGUCUCAUGUGUUUAUUCCUUCCUUCCUUCAUUCAUUCACCAUGGUGUAUCCAUUUAUUUAUUG
Long non-coding RNA from Miniopterus natalensis, 1622 nucleotides. RefSeq lists it as uncharacterized. Lineage: Eukaryota; Metazoa; Chordata; Mammalia; Chiroptera; Miniopteridae. The record is from RefSeq and is a predicted model, not a curated record.